Molecule: long non-coding RNA, 117 nt
Filed under: Oreochromis niloticus (Nile tilapia)
Lineage: Eukaryota; Metazoa; Chordata; Actinopteri; Cichliformes; Cichlidae
Description: lncRNA (ENSONIG00000039197.1)
Source: RNAcentral
AUUCCGCUUUGCUUUCUGCUGUGGUAACUACAAUACACUCAGUACAGCACUGUUUUACUUUUAUGAUGGAACUUGACUGACACCUGUGCUUUGCCUGGUAGGUGUGCACAUACUGUA